GGCUCAGAACGAACGCUGGCGGCGUGCCUAACACAUGCAAGUCGAGCGAGAAAGCCCGCAAGGGUGAGUAAAGCGGCGCACGGGUGCGUAACACGUGGGUAAUCUGCCCUGAAGUCCGGAAUAACUCGCCGAAAGGCGUGCUAAUGCCGGAUAAGACCACGGGAACCUCGGUUCCUGCGGGAAAAGGUGGCCUCUGUAUACAAGCUAUCACUUCAGGAUGAGCCCGCGGCCCAUCAGCUAGUUGGCGGGGUAACGGCCCACCAAGGCUACGACGGGUAGCUGGUCUAAGAGGACGAUCAGCCACACUGGAACUGAGACACGGUCCAGACUCCUACGGGAGGCAGCAGUGGGGAAUCUUGCGCAAUGGGCGAAAGCCUGACGCAGCAACGCCGCGUGUGUGAUGAAGGUCUUCGGAUCGUAAAGCACUGUCGGGAGGGACGAAUAAGGCCGGCGCUAACAUCGCCGGUUGAUGACGGUACCUCCAAAGGAAGCACCGGCUAACUCUGUGCCAGCAGCCGCGGUAAUACAGAGGGUGCAAGCGUUGUUCGGAAUUAUUGGGCGUAAAGCGCGUGUAGGCGGCUUAGUAAGUCGGAUGUGAAAGCCCUCGGCUUAACCGAGGAAGGGCGUUCGAUACUGCUGAGCUUGAGUGCCGGAGAGGGUGGCGGAAUUCCCGGUGUAGAGGUGAAAUUCGUAGAUAUCGGGAGGAACACCAGCGGCGAAGGCGGCCACCUGGACGGUAACUGACGCUGAGACGCGAAAGCGUGGGGAGCAAACAGGAUUAGAUACCCUGGUAGUCCACGCUGUAAACGAUGAGCGCUAGGUGUUGUGGGUGUUGACCCCCGCAGUGCCGAAGCUAACGCAUUAAGCGCUCCGCCUGGGAAGUACGGCCGCAAGGCUAAAACUC
RNAcentral lists this ribosomal RNA (904 nucleotides) under uncultured bacterium. RNAcentral's name for it is "bacterial SSU rRNA". It matches the Rfam family "Bacterial small subunit ribosomal RNA", at positions 21 to 902 of the family's 1533-position model. The record is from RNAcentral.